CUUAGCUCUGUCUGCUUGCUGCUCGGACAAGUGGGGGGCUCUGGAUCAAUUUCUGGAGCCAGGCGGACUUGCCAACAACAAUUUUCCUUUUCCCAGAGGGCCUCGGAGGCCUGGAGCAGCUUCCAAGGCCUUCCUCUCCGGCCUGCUCAGCGUGGGCUCCCUGACAGCGAGUUUGAAAAGGGUUAUAGAGAGGCAGAUAAAUGCCCGGCUUGUUGUAGCCUCCUGACAGCGCCGACCCCCGCGCCAGUGAGCUCAUGCCCGCCUCAUUACGCUUGGUGCCAGAUUUUUUCCAUUAGCAGGAGCACCCGGAGGAGAAUCCUGGCCCCCGUUUCGGUCGCGAGCCCCGCUGUGAUGCUGGCGCGUGCUAAGGACCGUCACCUCAAAGAAAAGAGAACAGCUGCAGACUGAAAGAUGGUGAAAGCUACAAGGCAUUUGAGGACUAACCAUUGUAACAAUAGCUGCCAACCCCUCCUCUUUGUAACUGAAAUGGAUUUGCAACAACAUUUGUUGGAUGAACAAACAAACGCCUGACUUAAAGAACACUACAAAUUAAAAUUGAGAAGACAUCACCCUUCCUGGACGGUAUCAGGUUAGCUUCCUAGAUCAUGAAACUCCCAAGAGCAAACGAUUCAUUUUAUUGGAAUAGUAAUUAUUAUUAUUACACUAAUUAGCAUCAGUAAUGUGCCCAGCACGGUACACUUAGUAUACAGCACUUCAUUUAAUCUUUACUAUGACCUUUACAGAUUAAACAAAGAGUGAGGUUCAGAGAGGUUCUCUUGCCCACUGCCCCAGCUGGCAAGUGGCAGAGAAGAGAUUCAA
Molecule: long non-coding RNA, 819 nt
Filed under: Felis catus (domestic cat)
Lineage: Eukaryota; Metazoa; Chordata; Mammalia; Carnivora; Felidae
Description: lncRNA (ENSFCAG00000051589.1)
Source: RNAcentral